UACGAAGGGGGCUAGCGUUGCUCGGAAUCACUGGGCGUAAAGCGCACGUAGGCGGAUCUUUAAGUCAGGGGUGAAAUCCCAAGGCUCAACCUUGGAACUGCCUUUGAUACUGGGGAUCUCGAGUCCGGAAGAGGUGAGUGGAACUGCGAGUGUAGAGGUGAAAUUCGUAGAUAUUCGGAAGAACACCAGUGGCGAAGGCGGCUCACUGGACUGGUAUUGACGCUGAGGUGCGAAAGCGUGGGGAGCAAACAGG
RNAcentral lists this ribosomal RNA (253 nucleotides) under uncultured bacterium. RNAcentral's name for it is "partial 16S ribosomal RNA". It matches the Rfam family "Bacterial small subunit ribosomal RNA", at positions 524 to 776 of the family's 1533-position model. The record is from RNAcentral.